ACUUACGGCCACACCACCCUGAGCACGCCCGCUCUCGUCUGAUCUCGGAAGCCAAGCAGGGUCGGGCCUGGUUAGUACUUGGAUGGGAGACCGCCUGGGAAUACCAGGUGCUGUAAGCAU
This 120-nucleotide ribosomal RNA is filed under the name Misgurnus anguillicaudatus (oriental weatherfish). Lineage: Eukaryota; Metazoa; Chordata; Actinopteri; Cypriniformes; Cobitidae. The record is from RNAcentral.